This 241-nucleotide ribosomal RNA is filed under the name uncultured bacterium. Its description in RNAcentral is "partial 16S ribosomal RNA". It matches the Rfam family "Bacterial small subunit ribosomal RNA", at positions 118 to 347 of the family's 1533-position model. The record is from RNAcentral.
UGGGUAACCUGCCCUUGACUGGGGGACAACCGGGGGAAACUCCGGCUAAUACCGCAUGAUGUGCUGGGUCUCAAGGCCUGGUACCAAAGCUCCGGCGGUCAAGGAUGGGCCCCGCGGCAGAUUAGCUUGUUGGUGAGGUAACGGCUCACCAAGGCAACGAUCUGUAGCUGGUCUGAGAGGACGAUCAGCCACACUGGAACCUGACACGUACCGUACGACGUACCCGUACCGGGUAGGGCGA